RNAcentral lists this ribosomal RNA (254 nucleotides) under uncultured bacterium. Its description in RNAcentral is "partial 16S ribosomal RNA". It matches the Rfam family "Bacterial small subunit ribosomal RNA", at positions 524 to 776 of the family's 1533-position model. The record is from RNAcentral.
UACGAAGGGGGCUAGCGUUGCUCGGAAUGACUGGGCGUAAAGGGCGCGUAGGCGGUUUGUACAGUCAGGUGUGAAAUUCCCCGGGCUCAACCCUGGAAAGCCGGUGGAUACUGUCGGGCUAGAGUCCGGAAGAGGCGAGUGGAAUUCCUGGUGUAGCGGUGGAAUGCGCAGAUAUCAGGAGGAACACCGGUGGCGAAGGCGGGUCUCUGGGCCGAUACUGACGCUGAGGAGCGAAAGCGUGGGGAGCGAACAGG